AUCUCCCAAGGCUAAAUACUCCCUAGUGACCGAUAGUGAACCAGUACCGUGAGGGAAAGGUGAAAAGCACCCCGGAAGGGGAGUGAAACAGUUCCUGAAACCGUGUGCCUACAAGUAGUUAGAGCCCGUUAAUGGGUGAUAGCGUGCCUUUUGUAGAAUGAACCGGCGAGUUACGAUUUGUUGCAAGGUUAAGCGGAAAAAGCGGAGCCGUAGCGAAAGCGAGUCUGAAUAGGGCGCAUAAGUAACAGGUCGUAGACCCGAAACCAGGUGAUCUACCCAUGUCCAGGAUGAAGGUAAGGUAAUACUUACUGGAGGUCCGAACCCACGCACGUUGAAAAGUGCGGGGAUGAGGUGUGGGUAGCGGAGAAAUUCCAAUCGAACUUGGAGAUAGCUGGUUCUCUCCGAAAUAGCUUUAGGGCUAGCCUCGAGGUAAAGAGUCAUGGAGGUAGAGCACUGUUUGGACUAGGGGCCCUUCUCGGGUUACCGAAUUCAGAUAAACUCCGAAUGCCAUGUACUUAUACUCGGGAGUCAGACUGCGAGUGAUAAGAUCCGUAGUCGAAAGGGAAACAGCCCAGACCACCAGUUAAGGUCCCCAAAUAUAUGUUAAGUGGAAAAGGAUGUGGGGUUGCUUAGACAACCAGGAUGUUGGCUUAGAAGCAGCCACCAUUGAAAGAGUGCGUAAUAGCUCACUGGUCGAGUGACCCCGCGCCGAAAAUGUACCGGGGCUAAACAUAUUACCGAAACUGUGGAUGAACCUCUUUAGAGGUUCGUGGUAGGAGAGCGUUCUAAGGGCGGUGAAGUCAGACCGGAAGGACUGGUGGAGCGCUUAGAAGUGAGAAUGCCGGUAUGAGUAGCGAAAGAAGGGUGAGAAUCCCUUCCACCGAAUAUCUAAGGUUUCCUGAGGAAGGCUCGUCCGCUCAGGGUUAGUCGGGACCUAAGCCGAGGCCGAUAGGCGUAGGCGAUGGACAACAGGUAGAGAUUCCUGUACCAGUGCUAAUUGUUUAACCGAUGGGGUGACACAGAAGGAUAGGGAAUCGCACGAAUGGAAAUGUGCGUCCAAGCAGUGAGUGUGAGAAGUAGGCAAAUCCGCUUCUCGCGAAGCAUGAGCUGUGAUGGGGAAGGAAAUUAAGUACGGAAGUUCCUGAUUUCACGCUGUCAAGAAAAGCCUCUAGGAAGAGUAGUACUGCCCGUACCGCAAACCGACACAGGUAGAUGAGGAGAGAAUCCUAAGGUGAGCGAGAGAACUCUCGUUAAGGAACUCGGCAAAAUGACCCCGUAACUUCGGGAGAAGGGGUGCUCUAUUAGGGUGCAAGCCCGAGAGAGCCGCAGUGAAUAGGCCCAGGCGACUGUUUAGCAAAAACACAGGUCUCUGCAAAACCGUAAGGUGACGUAUAGGGGCUGACGCCUGCCCGGUGCUGGAAGGUUAAGAGGAGUGCUUAGCUUCGGCGAAGGUACGAAUUGAAGCCCCAGUAAACGGCGGCCGUAACUAUAACGGUCCUAAGGUAGCGAAAUUCCUUGUCGGGUAAGUUCCGACCCGCACGAAAGGCGCAACGAUCUGGGCACUGUCUCAACGAGAGACUCGGUGAAAUUAUAGUACCUGUGAAGAUGCAGGUUACCCGCGACAGGACGGAAAGACCCCGUGGAGCUUUACUGCAACCUGAUAUGGAAUGUUUGUACCGCUUGUACAGGAUAGGUAGGAGCCGAAGAGACGUGUGCGCUAGCAUACGAGGAGGCAAUGGUGGGAUACUACCCUGGCUGUAUGACCAUUCUAACCCGCCACGCUUAGCGCGUGGGGAGACAGUGUCAGGUGGGCAGUUUGACUGGGGCGGUCGCCUCCUAAAGAGUAACGGAGGCGCCCAAAGGUUCCCUCAGAAUGGAUGGAAAUCAUUCGCAGAGUGUAAAGGCACAAGGGAGCUUGACUGCGAGACUGACAAGUCGAGCAGGGACGAAAGUCGGGCUUAGUGAUCCGGUGGUUCCGCAUGGAAGGGCCAUCGCUCAACGGAUAAAAGCUACCCCGGGGAUAACAGGCUUAUCUCCCCCAAGAGUCCACAUCGACGGGGAGGUUUGGCACCUCGAUGUCGGCUCGUCGCAUCCUGGGGCUGUAGUCGGUCCCAAGGGUUGGGCUGUUCGCCCAUUAAAGCGGCACGCGAGCUGGGUUCAGAACGUCGUGAGACAGUUCGGUCCCUAUCCGUCGCGGGCGCAGGAAAUUUGAGAGGAGCUGUCCUUAGUACGAGAGGACCGGGAUGGACACACCGCUGGUGUACCAGUUGUUCCGCCAGGAGCAUCGCUGGGUAGCUAUGUGUGGCAGGGAUAAACGCUGAAAGCAUCUAAGCGUGAAGCCCCCCUCAAGAUGAGAUUUCCCAUUUCUUCGGAAAGUAAGAUCCCUGAAAGAUGAUCAGGUAGAUAGGUUUGGAGUGGAAGUGUAGCGAUACAUGGAGCGGACAAAUACUAAUCGAUCGAGGACUUAACCAAAA
Molecule: ribosomal RNA, 2474 nt
Filed under: Listeria monocytogenes
Lineage: Bacteria; Bacillati; Bacillota; Bacilli; Caryophanales; Listeriaceae
Description: partial 23S ribosomal RNA
Rfam family: Bacterial large subunit ribosomal RNA
Source: RNAcentral